GACGAACGUUGGCGGCGUGCCUAACACAUGCAAGUCGAACGGGGCCCGCAAGGGUUCAGUGGCGAACGGGUGCGUAACACGUGAAGAAUUUGUCCAACGGCGGGGGAUAGCCGGCCCAACGGCCGGGUAAUACCGCGUACGACCCUCGGGGGGCAUCCCCUGAAGGUGAAAGCCGCAAGGCGCCGAUGGAGAACUUCGCGGCCUAUCAGCUAGUUGGUGAGGUCAUGGCCUACCAAGGCGACGACGGGUAGCCGGCCNGAGAGGGCGACCGGCCACACUGGGACUGAGACACGGCCCAGACUCCUACGGGAGGCAGCAGUGGGGAAUAUUGCGCAAUGGGCGGAAGCCUGACGCAGCGACGCCGCGU
RNAcentral lists this ribosomal RNA (367 nucleotides) under uncultured bacterium. RNAcentral's name for it is "bacterial SSU rRNA". It matches the Rfam family "Bacterial small subunit ribosomal RNA", at positions 28 to 402 of the family's 1533-position model. The record is from RNAcentral.